This is a non-coding RNA of Oryctolagus cuniculus (rabbit), 1158 nucleotides long. The record is from RefSeq and is a predicted model, not a curated record. NCBI's taxonomy places the organism in Eukaryota, Metazoa, Chordata, Mammalia, Lagomorpha, Leporidae.
CAUAGCACGUGUAUCACGGCUAGGAUACUGGCUUCGGUACAACCCAGGGCUUAUUCGGAUUUCAGCACUUUCAGCAUCAGAGUUACUUUAAUAAAGUGGUCAGAGUGGGAAGCAAUCUUCUGAACGGCCCUUUGGAGCCCAUGAACCCUGAGCACUUCAACGCGAAUUGAAACAGCAGCUUCGAAGAAGGGAUGAAGUCACAGAUGCAGAGGGAACCAUUUGUGUUCUUCUGGCCCCAAGGAAAUGCUGUCUUCCCAAGGGAACGCAUUGAAUCCAUGCUCCUUUAGCACAGAAUGGAAAGGUCUCUGGGAAAUGAAAUCUCUACCCACAGUGACCUGGUGAGACUGCCUGCACAGGUUGUUUGGAAGCUUCUAGAACCCCUUGGGGCCACCGAAGGCCUGCCUCAGCCAAAAUGCCUCUCUGUGCCCAUUGUCUGUCUCCUAGCAGCUGAGGAUAAGUGAUAAGCGUGGGAGAUAAAGCAGGGUCUGCAUCUGAAUCACUCUUGCCCAUCAGGAGCUCUGGGGCUGUGAACCUGCCCGAAUCGCUGGCAGACAACCAGGCCAUUUUGAUCUGGAAAAACUUCCCCCGGGACAGCCCACACCUGACAGAGGGAACAAUGGCGGGAAAUGGAGGCCCAAGCUUGGUGUUAGGGCCCUGCCACCCACACUCCUCUGCACUGUUAUUCCUGGCCAACACAGACAGACGCUGUGGGAAGAGGUGCAAAUGAGGCUUGGAAAUAAAAAGGAAGUGGAAUGAUGACAGGGAAACGAUAGGAGAUUGUUUUCCCAGCUUUGGAGGUUUCAUUCUAGAAGAUUCUGAGACUAGCCUGCCUGCAUGUACAAUGGUUGCCGUGAUAGUAACUAUGACAGCUCCUUGACCACCAGGGAAAAUGUUGAAGCCGCUUGAGGGUUCAUUUCCUCACCAAAGUGUUUCACUUCUGGGUUUUAGAGACCCUGGAACAGAUGAGAAAUCAGACCUCACAGCCUGGAAGCAUUUCCUCAUGGCUUCUGAAGGCUCCCUCUGUGGCUGUGACUCCGAGUGGCCCUCCUGCCACCACGCUAACCUUCAGCAUCCUAUCAGCGACACAGAGAUCUCCAGGUUUCCCACAGAACCCUGUUACUGUCACAGCAAGCCACUUGUGAAUUGUGAAACAAUGCA